UACGUAGGGUGCGAGCGUUGUCCGGAAUUACUGGGCGUAAAGAGCUCGUAGGUGGUUUGUCGCGUUGUUCGUGAAAACCGGGGGCUUAACCCUCGGCGUGCGGGCGAUACGGGCAGACUGGAGUACUGCAGGGGAGACUGGAAUUCCUGGUGUAGCGGUGGAAUGCGCAGAUAUCAGGAGGAACAGCCGGUGGCGAAGGCGGGUCUCUGGGCAGUAACUGACGCUGAGGAGCGAAAGCGUGGGGAGCGAACAGG
This 254-nucleotide ribosomal RNA is filed under the name uncultured bacterium. Its description in RNAcentral is "partial 16S ribosomal RNA". It matches the Rfam family "Bacterial small subunit ribosomal RNA", at positions 524 to 776 of the family's 1533-position model. The record is from RNAcentral.